Molecule: long non-coding RNA, 1663 nt
Organism: Mus musculus (house mouse)
Lineage: Eukaryota; Metazoa; Chordata; Mammalia; Rodentia; Muridae
Product: predicted gene, 52611
Exons: 3
Source: RefSeq, a predicted model, not a curated record
GCCCCCUGAAAAAGAAAACAUAAUUCCAUUGAUUAAGAUGAGUCUGUCUAAGGCAAAUGUUCUAAAUUUUUAUAGAUCAAUUCCUUCUGUUUACAUCAGAUGAUGUCACAUGUUUGAGCACACAUUGCAAAGGAGAGGAUAGGGAUGGCAUGAGACCAGUAGUCUUUGCAUAAGUAGUCUUAGUCAUACUUUUAAAAAAUUAGAACAAAUCUCUGGUAUUCAUUGCUUAUAUUCUCACCAUCAAAGUCUCUUCCUAAUAAGACAUUUAAUGAUCAGCAGUAGGAGCCACUAGCUCAGUUCUUCCCAUGAUCAGGGCAAAUGUGUAAAGUGCUUAUUUUAUUCAGUAACUUUUUCCUGUCUUGCAAUCUUUAAUAGAAUACCAAAGCAGAAGACUAGCCUCAUGGAGAUGGAACAGGGUACAAGCCAAAAGUAGGACCUGAGAAGGCCUAGCAAAGGGGCCUGGGUAGUGGAACCUGGGACAUUAAACUGGAGGUCUGUUAUAGCAAAGACACAUGAUAAGCAUAAUUAUAAGAUGUAGGCGAAGUGAAUCACGAUGAACUUGAAACAAAAUCACUGUCCGAAGGGUUGCUGAUUUUCUUUUACAGGAGCCUGCCAAGUCUGAGACAUUGAAAUAAGAGUUGAAUUUGGAAUACUUGAAGCAUUCAGCUUCUUCAUCACAGAUGAAGAAUCCAGUAAGAAAAGGAUGCUUUUCCAGGAUUUGGCUUCAAACCAACUAAUGGAGAGUUUCUAGGCAUGAGAAUUCCACGGCAGCUGUCAAAGCACCUCUAAUGUACACCUGGGGCUGAAAACUAAAGCUACAAUACGAGCUCCUACUUCAUAGUACCCAGACCAGUGAUUCUGAAACCUCAGUGCACAUUCUGUGAUAUGGCUGACAUUGUCAAAAACCAUCAGCAGCUGGUGUUUAUGGGAGAUGCUUCUCUGCAGUUUACAGCCACACACUGCAAAGUCUGCCUCUGAAUUCUCUGCAACUGUGGAAGGAGGGGUUUGAAUCCAUACGCCUCAGUUUUUCUCAUUUUUACACUGUAGCUGUGUCUAACACUUAAAGAAAGUAUGAAUACCCAACUCCAAGUACUUUCCAAGAAAUCAUUUUAAUAUAAUGAAGGAGUUCUGGAAGGGAAGAUUCCAGAAACAGAAGUGGACCAUUUUAUGCUUCUUGCUGCUGGGUAGCUGCACAGCCUUCUCUUCCUCUCCAUCCUACAGAAAGCUCAGAGAUUUAUUCUCUUCUCUUUGGAGCAUCCUAUAUCUUUUCUUGUUUUCCCACCCUAAAUGCCAUGAACUUUACUACAGUACGUGCUGUGACAAAAAAAAAAAAAGGGGUGGGGGGUGGGGGAGAAACCUGACUCCGGCUGUAAAAGAUUUGUCUUUUACGAGAUAUGAAUAUAGUCUCCUGUCUUUGAAAGCCAGUCUCGUUCUCCCUGGUCUGGUGUUUAUGUGGCCCUGGAGGAGACCACCUGUUCCGCACACUGUCCUAUCGUGUUGUAGGUAAGCUCCAUCAGGCCCUGGCCUCAGCCCUACAGCCGGAAGUGAACGAUGGAGCAGAUGACUUGCUACAACUCUAAAUGGUUUUCUCAGAUGGUCCAAGAUGGAACAAAUGGUACUGAUUUGAGGCCUCAAUUUGUUUCACUAAAAAAAAAAAAAAAAA